RNAcentral lists this ribosomal RNA (253 nucleotides) under uncultured bacterium. RNAcentral's name for it is "partial 16S ribosomal RNA". It matches the Rfam family "Bacterial small subunit ribosomal RNA", at positions 524 to 776 of the family's 1533-position model. The record is from RNAcentral.
UACGGAGGGAGCUAGCGUUGUUCGGAAAUACUGGGCGUAAAGCGAACGUAGGCGGUCUAGUAAGUCAGGGGUGAAAUCCCGGAGCUCAACUCCGGAACUGCCCUUGAAACUACUAAACUAGAAUCCUGGAGAGGUGAGUGGAAUUCCGAGUGUAGAGGUGAAAUUCGUAGAUAUUCGGAAGAACACCAGUGGCGAAGGCGACUCACUGGACAGGUAUUGACGCUGAGGUUCGAAAGCGUGGGGAGCAAACAGG